RNAcentral lists this ribosomal RNA (301 nucleotides) under uncultured bacterium. RNAcentral's name for it is "partial 16S ribosomal RNA". It matches the Rfam family "Bacterial small subunit ribosomal RNA", at positions 509 to 807 of the family's 1533-position model. The record is from RNAcentral.
CAGUAGCCGCGGGAAAACAGAGGGUGCGAGCGUUAAUCGGAUUUACUGGGCGUAAAGCGUGCGUAGGCGGCUUUUUAAGUCGGAUGUGAAAUCCCUGAGCUUAACUUAGGAAUUGCAUUCGAUACUGGGAAGCUAGAGUAUGGGAGAGGAUGGUAGAAUUCCAGGUGUAGCGGUGAAAUGCGUAGAGAUCUGGAGGAAUACCGAUGGCGAAGGCAGCCAUCUGGCCUAAUACUGACGCUGAGGUACGAAAGCAUGGGGAGCAAACAGGAUUAGAUACCCCAGUAGUCCCUGUCUCUUAUAC